This is a long non-coding RNA of Erigeron canadensis, 985 nucleotides long. RefSeq lists it as uncharacterized. The transcript has 2 exons. The record is from RefSeq and is a predicted model, not a curated record. Lineage: Eukaryota; Viridiplantae; Streptophyta; Magnoliopsida; Asterales; Asteraceae.
UUCACCAUCAAUAAUCGCUUGAACAGUAAUCAUUUUUCCGAUUUUUCAAGUCUAUGUUUUGCUUUCUCCCAUAAUCAUUUGAACAAUAAUCAAAAGGUGCUAAGAAGCUGAGGGGAUUGAGUUUUUUUUUUUUUUUUUCAUUUUUUUUUUCCAAUAAUAAGAGAGUCAGAGGUAAAAAAAAAAGAGGUAUGUAAACCUCUUACCGAAUCUGAUGUUGAUCUGAAAGAAAAACAAACACUUCAAGAUCUGGAAUCAUCUGGCCACAGGUUAUUCAGAGUUUUGGCGGGCCAAAAACACCGAAGAAUAUACCAGUAACCUUUGAUAAGAUUUGAGACUCAUGGCGGAUUGGCGGGGUGGAUUUGGAAAAGCAAGGGUUUGGAUGGAGUCCUUGAGCAAUUGUUCAAUGGUUGAAAGACCAUCUCCAUGCACGAGAUUUUGUGUUCAAACCUUGGGGAGGACAUAAAGAAGUUUUUUCAUGAGGGCUUGGCUUGAGUUUACCUAGGUUUAAGUCUGAAGGGGCAGGGUUUACUUUUAUUACGUUGAAAGACAACGUAUGCUAGACCUCUUGCUGUCGAAUCGCGACACGAAGUUUAUGUAAUGCAAGUUUCUAUAAAUCCCCGGUUUACAUCUUUCAAUGAAAAACUAAACCCUUAUCAUUCAGAAGAUCGAAGAGAAAACUCACCUGAAUCCAUCAGAGGUGAGAAUUGAAUACAUGUAUAGCACCCUAAACAUAUUUAGGGUAGGACUCGAACAUGAGACCUAUUCUAUUUCAUAAUAGUAUAAUCCGUACUAAUUACUUGGGUCAAUGGAUAGAGGACAUGAAGAAUGAGUUUAUGGUUUAUUAAUUCUUCUCUUUCCAUAAAUAAAGCUGGUUAGUUGGUUCGAAGACAUAGUUAUAUAUGUACGUUUGAAAGUCAUUUGUUGUUUUAUUUUUUGUUCAUUUUUAGAGUGUAUGAUAUAUAUGCAUAUUGUAUUUCAUUUCAAA